RNAcentral lists this ribosomal RNA (629 nucleotides) under uncultured delta proteobacterium. RNAcentral's name for it is "bacterial SSU rRNA". It matches the Rfam family "Bacterial small subunit ribosomal RNA", at positions 38 to 643 of the family's 1533-position model. The record is from RNAcentral. Lineage: Bacteria; Deltaproteobacteria.
GGCGGCGUGCUUAACACAUGCAAGUCGAACGAGAAAGUAGACUUCGGUCUGCGAGUAGAGUGGCGCACGGGUGAGUAACGCGUAGGUAAUCUACCCUUUUACCUGGGAUAACAUUGGGAAACUGGUGCUAAUACCGGAUACACUUAUCUGCUUCGGGGCAGAUGAGGAAAGGUGGCCUCUUGGUCAAAGCUACUGUAGAGGGAUGAGCCUGCGUACCAUUAGCUAGUAGGUGGGGUAACGGCCCACCUAGGCGACGAUGGUUAGCGGGUCUGAGAGGAUGAUCCGCCACACUGGAACUGGAACACGGACCAGACUCCUACGGGAGGCAGCAGUGAGGAAUAUUGCGCAAUGGGGGAAACCCUGACGCAGCGACGCCGCGUGAGUGAGGAAGGUCUUCGGAUCGUAAAGCUCUGUCAGAAGGGAAGAAGUGUUACAUGGUUAAUACCCAUGUAAUUUGACGGUACCUUCAGAGGAAGCACCGGCUAACUCCGUGCCAGCAGCCGCGGUAAUACGGAGGGUGCGAGCGUUGUUCGGAUUUACUGGGCGUAAAGGGUGAGUAGGUGGACUCGUGUGUCGGAUGUGAAAUGUCACCGUUCAACGGUGAAAGUCCGUUCGAAACUGCGAGUCUA